CACGCAUGACACACUGCAUAUCAAUAAGCGGAGGAAAAGAUACUAACAAGGAUUCCCUUAGUAACGGCGAGUGAAGCGGGAAGAGCUCAAAUUUGAAAUCUUCAAGGUUCUACCUUGACGAAUUGUAGUUUAUAGAAGUGUUUUCUGUUAGUGGAGUGGCAAAAGUUCUUUGGAAUAGGACAUCAUAGAGGGUGAGAAUCCCGUAUUUGGUCAUUCCUCCUAGCGUUGUGAUACACUUUCAAAGAGUCGGAUUGUUUGGGAAUGCAGUCCAAAAUGGGUGGUAAAUUUCAUCUAAAGCUAAAUAUUGGCGAGAGACCGAUAGCGAACAAGUACCGUGAGGGAAAGAUGAAAAGAACUUUGAAAAGAGAGUUAAACAGUACGUGAAAUUGUCAAAAGGGAAGCGUUUGACACCAGUGUUGUUUUUCCGAAAAUCAAUUACGAAUGUUUUGUUUUUGAGGAGUUAUGACUUCAUCGGCUUGCUUCUCUCUUUACUGAAACUUUCUUAAUGCAGCUUUUCGGUUAACAAGUCAACAUCAAUUUCUUUUGUUGUAAAAGGGUAUGAGGAAGGUGGCUUUCUUUUCGGAGAAAGUGUUUAUAGCCUUGUGCCUCUGCAAUCGGAGAGAUUGAGGUCUGCAGCGUAGAUCCUUCGGGGUUAGAUACAUUUGUGCUAAGUUAUAGCUUUUCAUAGACAACUUGUUGACUAUAUUUAGUCUUGUGGCUUACUCGCUUAUGCUAUUUUACCUACGCUUAGGAUGUUGACGAGACUGUCGAUCUC
Molecule: ribosomal RNA, 775 nt
Filed under: uncultured Neocallimastigales
Lineage: Eukaryota; Fungi; Neocallimastigomycota; Neocallimastigomycetes; Neocallimastigales
Description: partial large subunit ribosomal RNA
Rfam family: Eukaryotic large subunit ribosomal RNA
Source: RNAcentral